RNAcentral lists this ribosomal RNA (453 nucleotides) under uncultured bacterium. RNAcentral describes it as "partial 16S ribosomal RNA". It matches the Rfam family "Bacterial small subunit ribosomal RNA", at positions 29 to 507 of the family's 1533-position model. The record is from RNAcentral.
AUGAACGCUGACAGAAUGCUUAACACAUGCAAGUCAACUUGAACUUCGGUUUGGGUGGCGGACGGGUGAGUAACGCGUAAAGAACUUGCCUCACAGCUAGGGACAACAUUUGGAAACGAAUGCUAAUACCUGAUAUUAUGAUUAUAUGGCAUCGUAUAAUUAUGAAAGCUAUAUGCGCUGUGAGAGAGCUUUGCGUCCCAUUAGCUAGUUGGAGAGGUAACAGCUCACCAAGGCGAUGAUGGGUAGCCGGCCUGAGAGGGUGAUCGGCCACAAGGGGACUGAGACACGGCCCUUACUCCUACGGGAGGCAGCAGUGGGGAAUAUUGGACAAUGGACCGAGAGUCUGAUCCAGCAACUCUGUGUGCACGAUGAAGUUUUUCGGAAUGUAAAGUGCUUUCAGUUGGGAAGAAAAAAAUGACGGUACCAACAGAAGAAGUGACGGCUAAAUACGUG